AAACAUUCCUGCACCGGCACGGAUGGUUUCACGAGGAGGGACGGAGGGAUAGUCGAGCGACCAUGAGGAUUGGUCGUUCAAGCCAGUAGGCUGAUGGCGUAGGAGGCAAUGGCCACAAACGCGCUGUCAAGGCCGAGAGGUGAUGAGGCUGGCUCUUCGGAGCCAUCAACUCGAUAAUUCCACGCUUCCAGGAAAAGCUUCGCGUGAGUGUACCGCUGUGCCGACCGUACUGUAAACCGACACAGGUGGGUGGGGAGAAGAUCCCAAGGCGCUCGAGAGAACCCGGGUUAAGGAACUCGGCAAAAUAACACCGUAACUUCGGGAGAAGGUGUACCUCAGCUGGUGAAGGGCUUGCGCCCGGAGCUGGAGGGGGUUGCAGUGAAUCGGGGGUAGCGACUGUUUACCAAAAACACAGGACUCUGCAAAGUCGCAAGACGAAGUAUAGGGUCUGACGCCUGCCCGGUGCCGGAAGGUUAAGAGGAGAUGUCAGCGCAAGCAAAGCAUUGAAUCGAAGCCCCGGUAAACGGCGGCCGUAACGAUAACGGUCCUAAGGUAGCGAAAUUCCUUGGCGGGUAAGUUCCGUCCUGCACGAAUGGCGUAACGACUUCCCCACUGUCUCGACCCGGGACUCGGCGAAAUCGAAAUCGGGGUGAAGAUGCCCCGUACCUGCGGAGAGGCGGAAAGACCCCGUGAACCUUUACUGCAGCUUGGCACUGCAGUUCGGACUUGUCUGUGUAGCAUAGGUGGGAGACGUCGAAGCCGGGCCGCUAGGUCUGGUGGAGUCACCGUUGAAAUACCACCCUGAUAAGUCUGGACUUCUAACCGAGACCCGUAAUCCGGGUCCGGGACACUGCCUGGUGGGUAGUUUGACUGGGGCGGUCACCUCCUAAAGAGUAACGGAGGCGCGCAAAGGUUCCCUCAGGUUGAUUGGAAACCAACCGUAGAGUGUAAAGGCAUAAGGGAGCUUGACUGCGACACAUACAAGUGGAGCAGAGACGAAAGUCGGCCUUAGUGAUCCGGCGGUCCUGAAUGGAAGGGCCGUCGCUCAACGGAUAAAAGGUACUCCGGGGAUAACAGGCUGAUCUCCCCCAAGAGUUCACAUCGACGGGGAGGUUUGGCACCUCGAUGUCGGCUCAUCGCAUCCUGGGGCUGAAGUCGGUCCCAAGGGUUUGGCUGUUCGCCAAUUAAAGCGGUACGCGAGCUGGGUUCAGAACGUUGUGAGACAGUUCGGUCCCUAUCUUCCGUGGGCGUAGGAGACUUGAAGAGGAUCUGUCCCUAGUACGAGAGGACCGGGAUGGACGGACCCCUGGUGUUUCUGUUGUCAUGCCAGUGGCAUUGCAGAGUAGCCAAGUUCGGAACGGAUAACCGCUGAAAGCAUCUAAGCGGGAAGCCACCCUCGAGAUGAGGUCUCCCUGAAGGCUCGUCGUAGACUACGACGUUGAUAGGCUGGGUGUGGACGCACGGCAACGUGUGGAGCUAACCAGUACUAAUGAGCCGUUUGGCUUGGGC
Molecule: ribosomal RNA, 1509 nt
Filed under: metagenome
Description: bacterial LSU rRNA
Rfam family: Bacterial large subunit ribosomal RNA
Source: RNAcentral